Molecule: non-coding RNA, 21 nt
Filed under: Arabidopsis thaliana (thale cress)
Lineage: Eukaryota; Viridiplantae; Streptophyta; Magnoliopsida; Brassicales; Brassicaceae
Source: RNAcentral
CUAUCGUCGUUAGAGAUUGAA